CUUAUAUUCUGUAGCAAGGUUAACCGAAUAGGGGAGCCGAAGGGAAACCGAGUCUUAACUGGGCGUUAAGUUGCAGGGUAUAGACCCGAAACCCGGUGAUCUAGCCAUGGGCAGGUUGAAGGUUGGGUAACACUAACUGGAGGACCGAACCGACUAAUGUUGAAAAAUUAGCGGAUGACUUGUGGCUGGGGGGGAAAGGCCAAUCAAACCGGGAGAUAGCUGGUUCUCCCCGAAAGCUAUUUAGGUAGCGCCUCGUGAAUUCAUCUCCGGGGGUAGAGCACUGUUUCGGCAAGGGGGUCAUCCCGACUUACCAACCCGAUGCAAACUGCGAAUACCGGAGAAUGUUAUCACGGGAGACACACGGCGGGUGCUAACGUCCGUCGUGAAGAGGGAAACAACCCAGACCGCCAGCUAAGGUCCCAAAGUCAUGGUUAAGUGGGAAACGAUGUGGGAAGGCCCAGACAGCCAGGAUGUUGGCUUAGAAGCAGCCAUCAUUUAAAGAAAGCGUAAUAGCUCACUGGUCGAGUCGGCCUGCGCGGAAGAUGUAACGGGGCUAAACCAUGCACCGAAGCUGCGGCAGCGACGCUUAUGCGUUGUUGGGUAGGGGAGCGUUCUGUAAGCCUGCGAAGGUGUGCUGUGAGGCAUGCUGGAGGUAUCAGAAGUGCGAAUGCUGACAUAAGUAACGAUAAAGCGGGUGAAAAGCCCGCUCGCCGGAAGACCAAGGGUUCCUGUCCAACGUUAAUCGGGGCAGGGUGAGUCGACCCCUAAGGCGAGGCCGAAAGGCGUAGUCGAUGGGAAACAGGUUAAUAUUCCUGUACUUGGUGUUACUGCGAAGGGGGGACGGAGAAGGCUAUGUUGGCCGGGCGACGGUUGUCCCGGUUUAAGCGUGUAGGCUGGUUUUCCAGGCAAAUCCGGAAAAUCAAGGCUGAGGCGUGAUGACGAGGCACUACGGUGCUGAAGCAACAAAUGCCCUGCUUCCAGGAAAAGCCUCUAAGCAUCAGGUAACAUCAAAUCGUACCCCAAACCGACACAGGUGGUCAGGUAGAGAAUACCAAGGCGCUUGAGAGAACUCGGGUGAAGGAACUAGGCAAAAUGGUGCCGUAACUUCGGGAGAAGGCACGCUGAUAUGUAGGUGAAGUCCCUCGCGGAUGGAGCUGAAAUCAGUCGAAGAUACCAGCUGGCUGCAACUGUUUAUUAAAAACACAGCACUGUGCAAACACGAAAGUGGACGUAUACGGUGUGACGCCUGCCCGGUGCCGGAAGGUUAAUUGAUGGGGUUAGCGCAAGCGAAGCUCUUGAUCGAAGCCCCGGUAAACGGCGGCCGUAACUAUAACGGUCCUAAGGUAGCGAAAUUCCUUGUCGGGUAAGUUCCGACCUGCACGAAUGGCGUAAUGAUGGCCAGGCUGUCUCCACCCGAGACUCAGUGAAAUUGAACUCGCUGUGAAGAUGCAGUGUACCCGCGGCAAGACGGAAAGACCCCGUGAACCUUUACUAUAGCUUGACACUGAACAUUGAGCCUUGAUGUGUAGGAUAGGUGGGAGGCUUUGAAGUGUGGACGCCAGUCUGCAUGGAGCCGACCUUGAAAUACCACCCUUUAAUGUUUGAUGUUCUAACGUGGACCCGUAAUCCGGGUUGCGGACAGUGUCUGGUGGGUAGUUUGACUGGGGCGGUCUCCUCCUAAAGAGUAACGGAGGAGCACGAAGGUUGGCUAAUCCUGGUCGGACAUCAGGAGGUUAGUGCAAUGGCAUAAGCCAGCUUGACUGCGAGCGUGACGGCGCGAGCAGGUGCGAAAGCAGGUCAUAGUGAUCCGGUGGUUCUGAAUGGAAGGGCCAUCGCUCAACGGAUAAAAGGUACUCCGGGGAUAACAGGCUGAUACCGCCCAAGAGUUCAUAUCGACGGCGGUGUUUGGCACCUCGAUGUCGGCUCAUCACAUCCUGGGGCUGAAGUAGGUCCCAAGGGUAUGGCUGUUCGCCAUUUAAAGUGGUACGCGAGCUGGGUUUAGAACGUCGUGAGACAGUUCGGUCCCUAUCUGCCGUGGGCGCUGGAGAACUGAGGGGGGCUGCUCCUAGUACGAGAGGACCGGAGUGGACGCAUCACUGGUGUUCGGGUUGUCAUGCCAAUGGCACUGCCCGGUAGCUAAAUGCGGAAGAGAUAAGUGCUGAAAGCAUCUAAGCACGAAACUUGCCCCGAGAUGAGUUCUCCCUGACUCCUUGAGAGUCCUGAAGGAACGUUGAAGACGACGACGUUGAUAGGCCGGGUGUGUAAGCGCAGCGAUGCGUUGAGCUAACCGGUACUAAUGAACCGUGAGGCUUAACCUU
RNAcentral lists this ribosomal RNA (2318 nucleotides) under Escherichia coli 6-537-08_S3_C1. Its description in RNAcentral is "bacterial LSU rRNA". It matches the Rfam family "Bacterial large subunit ribosomal RNA", at positions 627 to 2925 of the family's 2925-position model. The record is from RNAcentral. Lineage: Bacteria; Pseudomonadati; Pseudomonadota; Gammaproteobacteria; Enterobacterales; Enterobacteriaceae.